AUGACGUUUUUUCACCACUUGCAGGCAAUGGUGAUUUUCACUUACAUAGAGUACUAAUUUGAUUAAGGAAAAAUCAUGUUCAUUCAUAAUUUUCAUUUUAAAAGUGUAUUCAUUCCUUCUGCAAAUCCAUACUGUCAUGCCUAUUCCCCAAUAUCGUCAACGCGGAUAGUUCGUUAGUCGAAAAUACUGAAUAAUUAAACAAGCCAAAUGGCAUCACUGGUGGUUCUUUUUUCCACUCCGCUAAACUGUCAUCUCAAACAAAAACAAAUGGAUCAUACAACUGCUAUGAAUACAUUCGACUCUUUUGCUUGCAUCAAUCGGUAAGUGAGAAAGAUGAUUUCUCCCAUCUCCACAGUACGGAUUUCCACUUCUAUCACAGCAGCCAACAACAUCCGUUUUCCUGCAGCAGUAACCUCCAACCCCUGUUGGCAAUGCCGGGGGACAGCAUCAACAGCAGCAGCAGCAGAAUUUGACCAUGGUAUGGUAUUGCGAAGAACUUUCCCCAUUAGAGGUUCCGUGCUUCGCGCACAUUCAAAAUCCUCUUCAGACACGAAAACUCAACGACAAGGAGGUAUUUAUCAACUUGCUCAGCUGAAUUACCACCCGGAUGAACCCGAAUACACUGAUUCCGUUGUAUAGUAGAAUGAAAAUAGGCGAGGUAAGCGAACGUAAUCGCAUGAUAUUUUAAUGUUCGCAUUUUUAUCCGGAUCAUACAACUGCUGUGAAUACAUCCUCAAUCAAUCGGCGAGUGAGAAAGAUGAUUUCCCUCAUCACUACAUUGCUUAUUUCCACUUCUGUCACACCAGCCAACAGCAUCAGCUUUCCCGCAGCAGUAUCCUUUAAGUCCAGGCUGCUAUUCCGGGGAACAGCAUCAACAGCAACAGCAGCAGGACCUGGCCAUCGAUAGUAUUUCGAGCAAUUUUCCCCCUCGGAGAUCUCGUGCUUCACGCACAUUGAAGAAUCCUCCUCAGCCACAUAUCUGUGUCAUCAAGGGCAAGGAGGUAUUCAUCAAUGUACUCAGUCGGAUUUGAAUCGUCAAUCCAGACAACCCGGAUGCACCGAUUCCAUUAUAUACCUUAUUUUUAUUA
This is a long non-coding RNA of Toxorhynchites rutilus septentrionalis, 1088 nucleotides long. RefSeq lists it as uncharacterized. The record is from RefSeq and is a predicted model, not a curated record. The transcript is spliced from 3 exons. Lineage: Eukaryota; Metazoa; Arthropoda; Insecta; Diptera; Culicidae.